Molecule: ribosomal RNA, 253 nt
Filed under: uncultured bacterium
Lineage: Bacteria
Description: partial 16S ribosomal RNA
Rfam family: Bacterial small subunit ribosomal RNA
Source: RNAcentral
UACGUAGGGUGCGAGCGUUAAUCGGAAUUACUGGGCGUAAAGUGUGCGCAGGCGGCACCGCAAGUCGAGUGUGAAAGCCCCGGGCUUAACUUGGGAAUUGCGCUCGAAACUAUGGUGCUGGAGUGUGGCAGAGGAAGGUGGAAUUCCAGGUGUAGCGGUGAAAUGCGUAGAGAUCUGGAGGAACACCGAUGGCGAAGGCAAUCCCCUGGACCUGUACUGACGCUCAUGCACGAAAGCGUGGGGAGCAAACAGG